RNAcentral lists this ribosomal RNA (377 nucleotides) under uncultured bacterium. RNAcentral describes it as "partial 16S ribosomal RNA". It matches the Rfam family "Bacterial small subunit ribosomal RNA", at positions 355 to 725 of the family's 1533-position model. The record is from RNAcentral.
UAGGGAAUCUUCCACAAUGGACGCAAGUCUGAUGGAGCAACGCCGCGUGAGUGAAGAAGGCUUUCGGGUCGUAAAACUCUGUUAUUGAAGAAGAACGUGUGUGACAGUAACUGGUCAUGCAGUGACGGUAUUCAAUCAGAAAGUCACGGCUAACUACGUGCCAGCAGCCGCGGUAAUACGUAGGUGGCAAGCGUUGUCCGGAUUUAUUGGGCGUAAAGCGAGUGCAGGCGGUCUUUUAAGUCUGAUGUGAAAGCCUUCGGCUUAACCGAGAAGGGCAUCGGAAACUGGGAGACUUGAGUGCAGAAGAGGAGAGUGGAACUCCAUGUGUAGCGGUGAAAUGCGUAGAUAUAUGGAAGAACACCAGUGGCGAAGGCGGC